CCCCUCCUCCGGGGGGCAUCAGUGGGGAAUAUUGCACAAUGGGGGAAACCCUUCUUCCUCUCCUCCUCUUUCGUGAAGAAGUAUCUCGGUACGUAAAGCUCUAUCAGCAGGGAAGAAAAUGACGGUACCUGACUAAGAAGCCCCGGCUAACUACGUGCCAGCAGCCGCGGAAAUACGUAGGGGGCAAGCGUUAUCCGGAUUUACUGGGUGUAAAGGGAGCGUAGACGGCAGCGCAAGUCUGGAGUGAAAUGCCGGGGCCCAACCCCGGAACUGCUUUGGAAAAUGGGCAGCUCGAGUGCAGGAGG
This 305-nucleotide ribosomal RNA is filed under the name uncultured bacterium. RNAcentral's name for it is "bacterial SSU rRNA". It matches the Rfam family "Bacterial small subunit ribosomal RNA", at positions 333 to 655 of the family's 1533-position model. The record is from RNAcentral.